RNAcentral lists this ribosomal RNA (482 nucleotides) under uncultured bacterium. RNAcentral's name for it is "partial 16S ribosomal RNA". It matches the Rfam family "Bacterial small subunit ribosomal RNA", at positions 30 to 507 of the family's 1533-position model. The record is from RNAcentral.
AUUGAACGCUGGCGGCAUGCCUUACACAUGCCAGUCGAACGGUAACAGGUCUUCGGAUGCUGACGAGUGGCGAACGGGUGAGUAAUACAUCGGAACGUGCCCGAUCGUGGGGGAUAACGAAGCGAAAGCUUUGCUAAUACCGCAUACGAUCUACGGAUGAAAGCAGGGGACCGCAAGGCCUUGCGCGAACGGAGCGGCCGAUGGCAGAUUAGGUAGUUGGUGGGAUAAAAGCUUACCAAGCCGACGAUCUGUAGCUGGUCUGAGAGGACGACCAGCCACACUGGGACUGAGACACGGCCCAGACUCCUACGGGAGGCAGCAGUGGGGAAUUUUGGACAAUGGGCGAAAGCCUGAUCCAGCCAUGCCGCGUGCAGGAUGAAGGCCUUCGGGUUGUAAACUGCUUUUGUACGGAACGAAAAGACUCUGGUUAAUACCUGGGGUCCAUGACGGUACCGUAAGAAUAAGCACCGGCUAACUACGUG